GCUUUUGAAAGAUUAUAGAUAUCUAUUGGUCUUAGGAACCAAAAACUCUUGGUGCAACUCCAAGCAAAAGCU
RNAcentral lists this transfer RNA (72 nucleotides) under Rhynchobatus djiddensis (giant guitarfish). RNAcentral describes it as "tRNA-Leu". Lineage: Eukaryota; Metazoa; Chordata; Chondrichthyes; Rhinopristiformes; Rhynchobatidae. The record is from RNAcentral.